RNAcentral lists this ribosomal RNA (457 nucleotides) under Granulicatella adiacens. RNAcentral's name for it is "bacterial SSU rRNA". It matches the Rfam family "Bacterial small subunit ribosomal RNA", at positions 28 to 474 of the family's 1533-position model. The record is from RNAcentral. Lineage: Bacteria; Bacillati; Bacillota; Bacilli; Lactobacillales; Carnobacteriaceae.
GACGAACGCUGGCGGCGUGCCUAAUACAUGCAAGUCGAACGAGAGCGACCGGUGCUUGCACUGGUCAAUCUAGUGGCGAACGGGUGAGUAACACGUGGGUAACCUGCCCAUCAGAGGGGGAUAACAUCCGGAAACGGAUGCUAAAACCGCAUAGGUCUUCGAGCCGCAUGGCUUGAAGAGGAAAAGAGGCGCAAGCUUCUGCUGAUGGAUGGACCCGCGGUGCAUUAGCUAGUUGGUGAGGUAACGGCUCACCAAGGCCGUGAUGCAUAGCCGACCUGAGAGGGUGAUCGGCCACAUUGGGACUGAGACACGGCCCAAACUCCUACGGGAGGCAGCAGUAGGGAAUCUUCCGCAAUGGACGCAAGUCUGACGGAGCAACGCCGCGUGAGUGAAGAAGGUUUUCGGAUCGUAAAACUCUGUUGUUAGAGAAGAACAAGUGCUAGAGUAACUGUUAGCG